UCCAAUCCUGCUCCUAAAGGAUCAACAUCCUGCAGAGUUUAAUGCCAACCUGCUCCAGCACACCUGCCUGGAGGUUUCUAGCAAUCCUGGAGACCUUGAUGAGCUGGUUCAGGUGUGUUUAAUUAGGGUUGGAGCUAAACUCUGCAGGACAAUAGCCCUCCAAGAGCAGAGCAGGACAAUAAACUAGAGAGAGGCCUUGGCAAGUUUUGCACUUAGACAUAAGCCCCUUCAGACGGACAGCUCCAGUGCAUUAUUGCAGUAAUCGAUCAGGGCCUCGGCACACGCAUGAAAGGCCCAUUCAUCGCUCCUGGACCACCCACUUUCGCUCACACGUCACAACAACCCACCUCUCAGCGUUUAAAGAACUGAAAAACAAGCCUGUCCAUGCUAUGUGAACACGCACGACGGAAAUGGAGUGGGAGGGCUGGGGAGCUGGAUAAGAUGGAAGUGGCCGAGAGAAGACAAAAAUAAAACACAAUUUCAACAAUAGCUCAAACCCCUGCCUCGGUGUCUACAGGAGAACGAACUAGCGCACCAUCAGCAAGUCCAGGAAUUUUGUCUUCCGCUAGGCUACAGUGAAGCUGGUGCUUACAAUGGAAAUGAAUGUGGCUGCUUUUUAGAAAGUUUAAA
Molecule: long non-coding RNA, 630 nt
Organism: Sinocyclocheilus anshuiensis
Lineage: Eukaryota; Metazoa; Chordata; Actinopteri; Cypriniformes; Cyprinidae
Exons: 4
Source: RefSeq, a predicted model, not a curated record